UGACGCAGAGUGCAGAGGUCAGGGGUAUGACGCAGAGUGCAGACCUCAGGGUGUGACGCACAGUGCAGAGGUCAGGGUGUGAUGCAGAGUGCAGAGGUCAGGGUGU
This is a long non-coding RNA of Nanorana parkeri, 106 nucleotides long. RefSeq lists it as uncharacterized. The transcript has 3 exons. The record is from RefSeq and is a predicted model, not a curated record. NCBI's taxonomy places the organism in Eukaryota, Metazoa, Chordata, Amphibia, Anura, Dicroglossidae.